This 440-nucleotide ribosomal RNA is filed under the name uncultured bacterium. Its description in RNAcentral is "partial 16S ribosomal RNA". It matches the Rfam family "Bacterial small subunit ribosomal RNA", at positions 338 to 795 of the family's 1533-position model. The record is from RNAcentral.
CCUACGGGAGGCAGCAGUGGGGGAUAUUGCACAAUGGGGGAAACCCUGAUGCAGCGACGCCGCGUGAGUGAAGAAGUAUUUCGGUAUGUAAAGCUCUAUCAGCAGGGAAGAAAAUGACAGUACCUGAACAAGAAGCCCCGGCUAACUACGUGCCAGCAGCCGCGGUAAUACGUAGGGGGCAAGCGUUAUCCGGAUUUACUGGGUGUAAAGGGAGCGUAGACGGUUAUGUAAGUCUGGAGUGAAAGCCCGGGGGCCAACCCCGGGACUGCUUUGGAAACUGUGUAACUGGAGUACAGGAGGGGCAGGCGGAAUUCCUGGUGUAGCGGUGAAAUGCGUAGAUAUCAGGAGGAACACCAGCGGCGAAGGCGGCCUGCUGGACUGAAACUGACGUUGAGGCUCGAAAGCGUGGGGAGCAAACAGGAUUAGAUACCCGGGUAGUC